GACUUUAAAGGAGAUUUUUUGUUUUGAAAGUGGCUUUUUUUUAUACUGAGUAACUUUAAAAUGGUUAAGUGUUGAGACUUUAAAGGGGAUGUUGAGUUUUGAAUGUUGUUAGGUGAGUGACUUAGUCACUUGAAAAUGGUUAUGUCUAGGGACUUUAAAUGGAAUUUUGGUUUUGAUGCUUAGUCACUUAAAAAUGGUUAAGUGUAGUGACUUU
Molecule: long non-coding RNA, 214 nt
Filed under: Capsicum annuum
Lineage: Eukaryota; Viridiplantae; Streptophyta; Magnoliopsida; Solanales; Solanaceae
Description: long non-coding RNA (CANN_LNC000493)
Source: RNAcentral